Molecule: small nucleolar RNA, 135 nt
Filed under: Drosophila pseudoobscura pseudoobscura
Lineage: Eukaryota; Metazoa; Arthropoda; Insecta; Diptera; Drosophilidae
Description: snoRNA:GA29966
Source: RNAcentral
UUUGGAGCCAAAGUGGCAUAUUUCUGAACAAACCUUCAGAUUUGUGUCUCAAAUACUCCAAUAAAAACUAGAUAGACGAACGGCAUCCUGAAUAAUCCCUCAUAUUAUAACAGACGACUUGUGUUCGUGUACAAU